GAUGAACGCUGGCGGCGUGCCUAAUACAUGCAAGUCGAGCGAACGGACGAGAAGCUUGCUUCUCUGAUGUUAGCGGCGGACGGGUGAGUAACACGUGGAUAACCUACCUAUAGGACUGGGAUAACUUCGGGAAACCGGAGCUAAUACCGGAUAAUAUUUUGAACCGCAUGGUUCAAAAGUGAAAGACGGUCUUGCUGUCACUUAUAGAUGGAUCCGCGCUGCAUUAGCUAGUUGGUAAGGUAACGGCUUACCAAGGCAACGAUGCAUAGCCGACCUGAGAGGGUGAUCGGCCACACUGGAACUGAGACACGGUCCAGACUCCUACGGGAGGCAGCAGUAGGGAAUCUUCCGCAAUGGGCGAAAGCCUGACGGAGCAACGCCGCGUGAGUGAUGAAGGUCUUCGGAUCGUAAAACUCUGUUAUUAGGGAAGAACAUAUGUGUAAGUAACUGUGCACAUCUUGACGGUACCUAAUCAGAAAGCCACGGCUAACUACGUGCCAGCAGCCGCAGUAAUACGUAGGUGGCAAGCGUUAUCCGGAAUUAUUGGGCGUAAAGCGCGCGUAGGCGGUUUUUUAAGUCUGAUGUGAAAGCCCACGGCUCAACCGUGGAGGGUCAUUGGAAACUGGAAAACUUGAGUGCAGAAGAGGAAAGUGGAAUUCCAUGUGUAGCGGUGAAAUGCGCAGAGAUAUGGAGGAACACCAGUGGCGAAGGCGACUUUCUGGUCUGUAACUGACGCUGAUGUGCGAAAGCGUGGGGAUCAAACAGGAUUAGAUACCCUGGUAGUCCACGCCGUAAACGAUGAGUGCUAAGUGUUAGGGGGUUUCCGCCCCUUAGUGCUGCAGCUAACGCAUUAAGCACUCCGCCUGGGGAGUACGACCGCAAGGUUGAAACUCAAAGGAAUUGACGGGGACCCGCACAAGCGGUGGAGCAUGUGGUUUAAUUCGAAGCAACGCGAAGAACCUUACCAAAUCUUGACAUCCUUUGACAACUCUAGAGAUAGAGCCUUCCCCUUCGGGGGACAAAGUGACAGGUGGUGCAUGGUUGUCGUCAGCUCGUGUCGUGAGAUGUUGGGUUAAGUCCCGCAACGAGCGCAACCCUUAAGCUUAGUUGCCAUCAUUAAGUUGGGCACUCUAAGUUGACUGCCGGUGACAAACCGGAGGAAGGUGGGGAUGACGUCAAAUCAUCAUGCCCCUUAUGAUUUGGGCUACACACGUGCUACAAUGGACAAUACAAAGGGCAGCGAAACCGCGAGGUCAAGCAAAUCCCAUAAAGUUGUUCUCAGUUCGGAUUGUAGUCUGCAACUCGACUACAUGAAGCUGGAAUCGCUAGUAAUCGUAGAUCAGCAUGCUACGGUGAAUACGUUCCCGGGUCU
Molecule: ribosomal RNA, 1372 nt
Filed under: uncultured bacterium
Lineage: Bacteria
Description: bacterial SSU rRNA
Rfam family: Bacterial small subunit ribosomal RNA
Source: RNAcentral